This 549-nucleotide ribosomal RNA is filed under the name uncultured Glomeromycotina. Its description in RNAcentral is "SSU rRNA". It matches the Rfam family "Eukaryotic small subunit ribosomal RNA", at positions 548 to 1098 of the family's 1831-position model. Lineage: Eukaryota; Fungi; Glomeromycota. The record is from RNAcentral.
UUGGAGGGCAAGUCUGGUGCCAGCAGCCGCGGUAAUUCCAGCUCCAAUAGCGUAUAUUAAAGUUGUUGCAGUUAAAAAGCUCGUAGUUGAAUUUCGGGAUCAAUAUAUUGGUCGUGCCUCUGGUAUGCACUGGUAUUAUUGAUUUCUACCUUCUGACGAACUGUGAUGUCAUUAAUUUGGUGUCAUGGGGAAUCAGGACUGUUACUUUGAAAAAAUUAGAGUGUUUAAAGCAGGCACACGCUUGAAUACAUUAGCAUGGAAUAAUGAAAUAGGACGUUUGACCCUAUUUUGUUGGUUUCUAGGAUCGACGUAAUGAUUAAUAGGGAUAGUUGGGGGCAUUAGUAUUCAAUUGUCAGAGGUGAAAUUCUUGGAUUUAUUGAAGACUAACUACUGCGAAAGCAUUUGCCAAGGAUGUUUUCGUUAAUCAAGAACGAAAGUUAGGGGAUCGAAGACGAUCAGAUACCGUCGUAGUCUUAACCAUAAACUAUGCCGACUAGGGAUCGGAUGAUGUUAAUUUUUUAAUGACUCAUUCGGCGCCUUACGGGAAAC